AUUGAACGCUGGCGGCAUGCUUUACACAUGCAAGUCGAACGGCAGCACGGGAGCUUGCUCCUGGUGGCGAGUGGCGAACGGGUGAGUAAUACAUAGGAACGUAUCCUGUAGUGGGGGAUAACGCAGCGAAAGCUGUGCUAAUACCGCAUACGAUCUACGGAAGAAGGCGGGGGACCUGCAAGGGCCUCGCGCUAUUGGAGCGGCCUAUGUCUGAUAGCUAGUUGGUGAGGUAAAGGACUCACCAAGGCGACGAUCAGUAGCUGGUCUGAGAGGAUGAUCAGCCACACUGGAACUGAGACACGGUCCAGACUCCUACGGGAGGCAGCAGUGGGGAAUUUUGGACAAUGGGGCAACCCUGAUCCAGCCAUGCCGCGUGAGUGAAGAAGGCC
RNAcentral lists this ribosomal RNA (389 nucleotides) under uncultured bacterium. RNAcentral describes it as "bacterial SSU rRNA". It matches the Rfam family "Bacterial small subunit ribosomal RNA", at positions 30 to 416 of the family's 1533-position model. The record is from RNAcentral.